RNAcentral lists this ribosomal RNA (1385 nucleotides) under uncultured bacterium. RNAcentral's name for it is "16S ribosomal RNA". It matches the Rfam family "Bacterial small subunit ribosomal RNA". The record is from RNAcentral.
UUAGAGUUUGAUCCUGGCUCAAGAUGAACGCUGGCGGCGUGCUUAACACAUGCAAGUCGAACGGAGCUGUAUUGAAACCUAGUGAUAUGCAGCUUAGUGGCGGACGGGUGAGUAACGCGUGGGCAACCUGCCGCAUACCGGGGGAUAACACUUAGAAAUAGGUGUUAAUACCGCAUAAGCGCACAGAGCCGCAUGGCUUGGUGUGAAAAACUCCGGUGGUAUGCGAUGGGCCCGCGUCUGAUUAGCUGGUUGGCGGGGUAGAAGCCCACCAAGGCGACGAUCAGUAGCCGACCUGAGAGGGUGACCGGCCACAUUGGGACUGAGACACGGCCCAAACUCCUACGGGUGGCAGCAGUGGGGAAUAUUGCACAAUGGGGGAAACCCUGAUGCAGCGACGCCGCGUGGGUGACGAAGUAUUUCGGUAUGUAAAGCCCUAUCAGCAGGGAAGAAGAUGACAGUACCUGACCAAGAAGCCCCGGCUAACUACGUGCCAGCAGCCGCGGUAAUACGUAGGGGGCAAGCGUUAUCCGGAUUUACUGGGUGUAAAGGGAGCGUAGGUGGCAUGGCAAGCCAGAAGUGAAAACCCGGGGCUUAACCCCGCGGAUUGCUUUUGGAACUGUCAGGCUGGAGUGCAGGAGGGGCAGGCGGAAUUCCUAGUGUAGCGGUGAAAUGCGUAGAUAUCAGGAGGAACACCGGUGGCGAAGGCGGCCUGCUGGACUGUAACUGACACUGAGGCUCGAAAGCGUGGGUAGCAAACAGGAUUAGAUACCCUGGUAGUCCACGCUGUAAACGAUGAUUACUAGGUGUGGGUGGACUGACCCCAUCCGUGCCGGAGUUAACACAAUAAGUAAUCCACCUGGGGAGUACGGCCGCAAGGCUGAAACUCAAAGGAAUUGACGGGGGCCCGCACAAGCAGUGGAGUAUGUGGAUUAAUUCGAUGCAACGCGAAGAACCUUACCAGGUCUUGACAUCCCGCUAACGAGGCAGAGAUGCGUUAGGUGCCCUUCGGGGAAAGCGGAGACAGGUGGUGCAUGGUUGUCGUCAGCUCGUGUCGUGAGAUGUUGGGUUAAGUCCCGCAACGAGCGCAACCCCUGUCCUCAGUAGCCAGCAUUUAAGGUGGGCACUCUGGGGAGACAGCCGGAGACAAUCCGGAGGAAGGCGGGGAUGACGUCAAAUCAUCAUGCCCCUUAUGUUCUGGGCUACACACGUGCUACAAUGGCGCCUACAAAGUGAAGCGAGCGAGCGAUCGUAAGCAAAACACAGAAAAGGCGUCCCAGUUCGGAUUGCAGGCUGCAACCCGCCUGCAUGAAGCUGGAAUCGCUAGUAAUCGCGGAUCAGAAUGCCGCGGUGAAUACGUUCCCGGGUCUUGCACUCACCGCCCGUCA